GGCGUCGAGCGGCGGACGGGUGAGUAAUGCCUAGGAAAUUGCCCUGAUGUGGGGGAUAACCAUUGGAAACGAUGGCUAAUACCGCAUGAUGCCUACGGGCCAAAGAGGGGGACCUUCGGGCCUCUCGCGUCAGGAUAUGCCUAGGUGGGAUUAGCUAGUUGGUGAGGUAAGGGCUCACCAAGGCGACGAUCCCUAGCUGGUCUGAGAGGAUGAUCAGCCACACUGGAACUGAGACACGGUCCAGACUCCUACGGGAGGCAGCAGUGGGGAAUAUUGCACAAUGGGCGCAAGCCUGAUGCAGCCAUGCCGCGUGUGUGAAGAAGGCCUUCGGGUUGUAAAGCACUUUCAGUCGUGAGGAAGGCGGUGUAGUUAAUAGCUGCAUCGUUUGACGUUAGCGACAGAAGAAGCACCGGCUAACUCCGUGCCAGCAGCCGCGGUAAUACGGUGCAUUAUUUGACGUUAGCGACAGAAGAAGCACCGGCUAACUCCGUGCCAGCAGCCGCGGUAAUACGGAGGGUGCGAGCGUUAAUCGGAAUUACUGGGCGUAAAGCGCAUGCAGGUGGUUUGUUAAGUCAGAUGUGAAAGCCCGGGGCUCAACCUCGGAAUUGCAUUUGAAACUGGCAGACUAGAGUACUGUAGAGGGGGGUAGAAUUUCAGGUGUAGCGGUGAAAUGCGUAGAGAUCUGAAGGAAUACCGGUGGCGAAGGCGGCCCCCUGGACAGAUACUGACACUCAGAUGCGAAAGCGUGGGGAGCAAACAGGAUUAGAUACCCUGGUAGUCCACGCCGUAAACGAUGUCUACUUGGAGGUUGUGGCCUUGAGCCGUGGCUUUCGGAGCUAACGCGUUAAGUAGACCGCCUGGGGAGUACGGUCGCAAGAUUAAAACUCAAAUGAAUUGACGGGGGCCCGCACAAGCGGUGGAGCAUGUGGUUUAAUUCGAUGCAACGCGAAGAACCUUACCUACUCUUGACAUCCAGAGAACUUUCCAGAGAUGGAUUGGUGCCUUCGGGAACUCUGAGACAGGUGCUGCAUGGCUGUCGUCAGCUCGUGUUGUGAAAUGUUGGGUUAAGUCCCGCAACGAGCGCAACCCUUAUCCUUGUUUGCCAGCGAG
Molecule: ribosomal RNA, 1110 nt
Filed under: Vibrio parahaemolyticus
Lineage: Bacteria; Pseudomonadati; Pseudomonadota; Gammaproteobacteria; Vibrionales; Vibrionaceae
Description: bacterial SSU rRNA
Rfam family: Bacterial small subunit ribosomal RNA
Source: RNAcentral